UGAUGCCACAUCUGGUCCAGCUGAUGGAAGGUCUUGAAGUUCUCUGACUGGCCUCGACUGAAGAUGGUCGUCUCACUGGAUUUAAGAUGCACAAUGAGGGACGUCUACAGAGACUGAGAAAGAGUCUCACCACAUCCUGACAUGAGGAAAAAGACUUUAUUGAAGACUACAAUGAGAAAAACUAUCAGACAGCAGACGGCUGCAUUCAAGUUUAGGCUGUUAGAUUGUUCCAGAUAAGACAAGUACAAGAUUCUUCAGAGCCGUUCUACCACGAGCCUGACAGGAAGAACUCCAACAGCUACUGAAUGUUCCUGUGGU
Amphiprion ocellaris (clown anemonefish) is the source of this 318-nucleotide long non-coding RNA. NCBI's taxonomy places the organism in Eukaryota, Metazoa, Chordata, Actinopteri, Pomacentridae. The record is from Ensembl.